AUUGAACGCUGGCGAAAUGCUUUACACAUGCAAGUCGAACGGCAGCACGGGGGCAACCCUGGUGGCGAGUGGCGAACGGGUGAGUAAUACAUCGGAACGUGCCCAGUCGUGGGGGAUAACGUAGCGAAAGUUACGCUAAUACCGCAUACGAUCUACGGAUGAAAGCGGGGGACCGUAAGGCCUCGCGCGAUUGGAGCGGCCGAUGUCAGAUUAGGUAGUUGGUGAGGUAAAGGCUCACCAAGCCGACGAUCUGUAGCUGGUCUGAGAGGACGACCAGCCACACUGGGGCUGGGACACGGCCCAGACUCCUACGGGAGGCAGCAGUGGGGAAUUUAGGACAAUGGGCGCAAGCCUGAUCCAGCCAUUCCGCGUGCAGGACGAAGGCCUUCGGGUUGUAAACUGCUUUUGUACGGAACGAAAAGGCUCUGGUUAAUACCUGGGGCUCAUGACGGUACCGUAAGAAUAAGCACCGGCUAACUACGUGCCAGCCGCCGCCGUAA
This 500-nucleotide ribosomal RNA is filed under the name uncultured bacterium. RNAcentral describes it as "partial 16S ribosomal RNA". It matches the Rfam family "Bacterial small subunit ribosomal RNA", at positions 30 to 523 of the family's 1533-position model. The record is from RNAcentral.